CCAUGCUCUUCCAGUCACUGUGCCUGCGGCCACUGAGGAACAUGCAGCAUCUCAGAGCAAGAGAACCAAGGAUCCAAGUGUCCAAGUAUCCCACGAACAAAGCCAUCUACUUUGUGGUGUUUUGAUACAGCAGCCUAGAAUGGAAUACGGAUUAUAAAGGGAGACAGAGAAGCCCAAACGAUACUGAUGAGCUUUUCAAAAGAAGCUCCUUUUCUUUACUUACGUGAGAAAAGAAAACAAAGGAAAAAUAAACCUGAAGAAAAGCAAAACUAAAACAAAACAA
Molecule: long non-coding RNA, 283 nt
Organism: Grammomys surdaster
Lineage: Eukaryota; Metazoa; Chordata; Mammalia; Rodentia; Muridae
Exons: 2
Source: RefSeq, a predicted model, not a curated record